This 393-nucleotide ribosomal RNA is filed under the name uncultured bacterium. RNAcentral describes it as "bacterial SSU rRNA". It matches the Rfam family "Bacterial small subunit ribosomal RNA", at positions 30 to 426 of the family's 1533-position model. The record is from RNAcentral.
AUUGAACGCUGGCGGCAUGCCUUACACAUGCAAGUCGAACGGCAGCACGGGAGCAAUCCUGGUGGCGAGUGGCGAACGGGUGAGUAAUAUAUCGGAACGUGCCCAGUCGUGGGGAUAACGUAGCGAAAGCUACGCUAAUACCGCAUACGAUCUAUGGAUGAAAGCGGGGGAUCGCAAGACCUCGCGCGAUUGGAGCGGCCGAUAUCAGAUUAGGUAGUUGGUGAGGUAAAGGCUCACCAAGCCGACGAUCUGUAGCUGGUCUGAGAGGACGACCAGCCACACUGGGACUGAGACACGGCCCAGACUCCUACGGGAGGCAGCAGUGGGAAUUUUGGACAAUGGGCGCAAGCCUGAUCCAGCAAUGCCGCGUGCAGGAUGAAGGCCUUCGGGUGU